This 66-nucleotide small RNA is filed under the name Bacillus sp. MUM 13. Its description in RNAcentral is "Bacillaceae-1 RNA". It matches the Rfam family "Bacillaceae-1 RNA". Lineage: Bacteria; Bacillati; Bacillota; Bacilli; Caryophanales; Bacillaceae. The record is from Rfam by way of RNAcentral.
AGUAGAGGAUCAAAGACUAAGAACGCCGCGUCCUGCGGCAGCGCCGUUGGCUCCCAUCACCGGGGG